GAUGAACGCUGGCGGCGUGCCUAAUACAUGCAAGUCGAGCGAACAGAUGAGGAGCUUGCUCCUCUGACGUUAGCGGCGGACGGGUGAGUAACACGUGGAUAACCUACCUAUAAGACUGGGAUAACUUCGGGAAACCGGAGCUAAUACCGGAUAAUAUAUUGAACCGCAUGGUUCAAUAGUGUAAGACGGUUUUGCUGUCACUUAUAGAUGGAUCCGCGCCGCAUUAGCUAGUUGGUAAGGUAACGGCUUACCAAGGCAACGAUGCGUAGCCGACCUGAGAGGGUGAUCGGCCACACUGGAACUGAGACACGGUCCAGACUCCUACGGGAGGCAGCAGUAGGGAAUCUUCCGCAAUGGGCGAAAGCCUGACGGAGCAACGCCGCGUGAGUGAUGAAGGUCUUCGGAUCGUAAAACUCUGUUAUUAGGGAAGAACAAAUGUGUAAGUAACUAUGCACGUCUUGACGGUACCUAAUCAGAAAGCCGCGGCUAACUACGUG
RNAcentral lists this ribosomal RNA (497 nucleotides) under uncultured bacterium. RNAcentral's name for it is "partial 16S ribosomal RNA". It matches the Rfam family "Bacterial small subunit ribosomal RNA", at positions 28 to 507 of the family's 1533-position model. The record is from RNAcentral.